ACUAAGCUGGCUUAUUCUUAGUACAUGUACUGUGCUGGUCUGUGUUAUAGUACUAGCACUUACAUGUGCUAGCAAUGAGCUGCAAAGUUACAACACAUGCAAAAGAAGAAAACUGCUCUUCAAUAUUUUCUAUUUUUUUUUUUUAAAGACAGAAGUCAAUAAGCUGUCUAAUUCUUAGUACAUGUACUGUGCUGGUCUGUGUUAUAGUACUAGCACUUACAUGUGCUUGGGAUAAGGUGCUUACUUGAAGUUCUUGCAAAAUAUAGCUGCUAUUUUAUAUUUUUCCUUUUCAAUGUUUUAAUGAGAGACUUAAGUUACAAAGCUGUCUUAUUCUUAGUACAUGUACUGUGCUGGUCUGCAAUGAGCUGCAAACUUACACCACAUACAUGUGUACACAAGAAAUAAACUGCUCUUCAAUAUUUUCUUUU
Molecule: long non-coding RNA, 428 nt
Filed under: Mytilus galloprovincialis (Mediterranean mussel)
Lineage: Eukaryota; Metazoa; Mollusca; Bivalvia; Mytilida; Mytilidae
Source: RNAcentral